CAGUUUGGGCUCCCAUCUCCUUUUUCCUCCGUGAUGUAGUGCAUAACGGUGGGACUAAUGCUGGUGUCAAGAGGCUGGAGAAAAGCGGACUCCUCUGCCUUGGUUAAACAUUGGGAAUAGUUUGCUGGCUGUUUCUGCAUUGUUUAGGGCCAAGGUCUGCACCUCUGAAUUUGUGUAAGUCACGGAGGUUGCUCCCUCACCUGGGCCUUCUUUCUUUGGCUUGUUUAGCUCGGGAGCCUGGAAGUGACUUCCUUCUGCAGGCAAGCUCCUCAAGUUCCUCCCUGGAUCCAGAAUAAAUGUACCUUUGAGUUGAACCUCAGACUCGAGCUCCAGCAUU
This is a long non-coding RNA of Nothoprocta perdicaria, 337 nucleotides long. RefSeq lists it as uncharacterized. The record is from RefSeq and is a predicted model, not a curated record. Lineage: Eukaryota; Metazoa; Chordata; Aves; Tinamiformes; Tinamidae. The transcript has 3 exons.